Labrus bergylta (ballan wrasse) is the source of this 3528-nucleotide long non-coding RNA. RefSeq lists it as uncharacterized. The record is from RefSeq and is a predicted model, not a curated record. Lineage: Eukaryota; Metazoa; Chordata; Actinopteri; Labriformes; Labridae.
AGCGCCGCAGAGCCACGUCCCCAUGAUGAAACGGACGGCUAGGGUUUCACAAGUGCCGUCACUCCCUCGCAUACUCGGCAGGAGAGCACGCUCUGCCAAAAUAACGGCCCAACGGGCGAGGAGGGAAUAUUACUUUGGAUUCAGGGGGCAUGCAUACCAUCUUGUUGCACAAAAAGAGUUGAUUACUAAAACAGUUCCUCUGCAACCAACCAAUCACUGAUAUCUAAGAGAGGGGAGGGGAAGAUAUCUUUGUGCAGUUUGAUACUUAAAGGGAACAGAGAGGAGUUAUUUCCUCGAUGCAGGGAUUAGAAAGACGCACACUCCAAAAGAUUUCAUGCAAGAAAACUUAUGAAAAGAGAUCUUUUUCUAAGUUCGAUUAUUUGGGCCAUUUUUGCUUUUAUUGGAUAAGACAGCUGAAGAGAGGCAGGAAAUGUUGGGAAGAGAGAGAGGCGUGACAUGCAGCAAAUGGCUGAGGUUAGGUUUAAACCCACAGACGCUGUGGCGAGGAUUAGACGACAAACCAAAUGUCCAAGCCACAGCGUAAGUUUUGAUAUGAACGUUUAUUCAUUUAUUUCAAGUCCAUGAUCAGGAUACCAAUUAUCAACAAACAAGAAUCUGUUUAAUCCAAUACAAACCCAACAAACAUAAAACAGAUAAACUCAAACCUGACUCACUGUCAGAGCUCGGCUCACCUGCUCUGCACUUUUCCACUUUGCCUGCCGGCCACGCCCGCCUCAUCAAGCUCAGCUCAGCUCACCUGUGCACACAGCUGCUCGUCAUCAGUGAUCAUAAGGCAGUGUUUAAGCCUCUCCUGCUCACUCAAAGUUUGCCAGAUCAUUCUUUGUCAUUGACGCAGGCCUUUCCAGCACUCCUCUUUGGACUGAUUCCCUGUUGGUGACCCUUCCUGCUUUUUAUGUAAUGGUGGAAAUUACAUCAGCCCUCUGUCCCUGACCACCAGUUCUGCCUCUGUACCCUUGUUUCAGUCGACUUCUCCCCUUGGCUUCUUGGUGUAUGACAGCGUUUCAGAAAGACUUUUCCUGUUUUUUACCCGUCGACUUCUUUGACUUACCUGCAGCCUCCCUGACCCCUCAGCCUGCUUCUGUCUCGCGUCAUGCUUUCCCCUCUCAGAACUGUUUGUUCAUGAUUACUUAUCUGGCUCUGGACAUGCUGCUAAGCGGACCACAUCACCUGCUUGUCCCCCUACAGAACUGGACCCCCUCUAGUAGGAGACUUUCAGGGUGUGAAAAAUCAGAGUUCAAGUGGGGGGCCUGACCCUGGCCACAUGAGCAGUGUGGUUCCAGGAAUUUCUCUCAGUCGGUUGGACAGCGUCUUUGAUUUCACGACGUUUCCAUCGGUCUCAAACUGAUUCCUACUGGAGGCAACCUAGACGUCAGAACUCUGUAAUUUCAGUUUUUCAGCAGGCAGGCACAGCUAAGUGUUGCUUGUUUGAAAAAGAAGUAAACACAAGUGUAGUGCACCCGGGUGUCCAGAGCUCCAAGGAAAACUGGCUAAAUCUUUGAAGUGCUUCUGCAGAAAUCUUCUUGUUUAAACCACGUUGACCUUUUAACAUGUAUCAGAAAUACUGAAAGUGCACGCCGUUGUUCCAAUUUGCUGCGUCUUGGAAAUGACAGAAAAUCCUGAAAACUAAACUAAACAAAACUAUCUCACUAGGAAAAAUAUUUCGCGAAACAAUGGUAUUCAUUAGGGGCUCAAAUUACAAGACAAGAAGAACUAAUGACCUCUAAAUAAAGACAAUGCUAAACAUACCCAGGCUGAGAUUAGUGUUUGCAUGACAUUCCAGCCCCACUUAGGAUCACACCAAACCGGGCCAGCUGAUAAGAUUCUGUUGAACAGUAAAGCAUCUCCGCACCUCGAGGGACAGGCGGCCUCUCACAGAGCCGCCAUGUGACCGAUUGUCAUCACACAAACCACAGGUCCACUGCCAGCCGCCGAGAGCUCCAGACCUGCCAAAGAUAGCAACAAGCCAGCCUGCAUGGGACUAUGAGCGCUGCUGCAGAGAGAGGACGAAUAAGUAUACACCGACCGCAGAGAGAGCGGCCCUCUGUGAAGACUCUCAGUUCAGCGUGUCAAAUGACGGGCUGCAAUCACGCGACUCCAGCCCGCCUUUAACCCAACAUCCGUCUGCUGCCUUGAACCGUUGAUGAAUGGCUCCAUCAGGGUGAACAUGGCAGCAGUUUAAUGUGAAAUGCUUGUGAGGAUUAAGCUGCACAUAAAUCUUGAUUAAGGAGACUCCAUGUGCCGCGUCGUGAGGCAGCACAUUGAUGACUGCUCUGAUGAUGAUGAUGAUGAUGAUGAUGAUGCUAAUGGGAGCAGAUACUGUAGAUAAAGUGGGUGGAAACUGUAUAUUCAAGUUGUUAGUGCUCAUUAAGUGUGGAUCAUUGGUGCAUGUUGAGUUUCUGUUACGAAGCUUCAUGAAACAUCUGUCGACCAGAAGUUUAAGUUUAGAGGGUAAAAUCAUUGAAUGUGACUUUACACUGUAUCUUAUGUUGUUUUUAACUCUACAUUUAACCUGUGAGUGUGAGUGUGUGUGUGGCUGGUUGUCUGUCUCUAUAUGUCAGCCCUCUGAUUGACUGGCGACCCGUCCAGGGUGUAACCCCGCCUCUCGCCCAAUGACAGCUGGGAUCAGCUCCAGCCUCCUAACAACCACCAACGGGAACAUCCGAAUAGUUAAUGGCUGAAAUGUUGUUUUUCUGAUUCAGUCGUCCUGACUGUGUUCUUAGUGGUGACUUUGUCUCUUACAGUUGAUGGGAUGGAGAUGUGAGGAUUAUGAUUUUAGACUGUAUGAAACAUGGACGUAGUCUCAGCGACGUCACCCGUUGGUUACUGAAAGGGAGCCUAAUUGUAACCCAGGUUAAUUAUGGGUCUAGAUUUAGCAAUCUAUUUUUUUUUUCUGUGCAAGAGGAGUGACCUCUGUGAACCUCCAUAAAUUAUGAUACAUUUUUGUUGUUUUUUAUGCAUUAACUUCCCUAUUUUUUUCUUUUAACAUUCCACAAUCUCACCUGAACUCUGCUAAAAUCCAUCAUCCAAUUAGAGCUCAACCCACUAAUCAAAAACAUCCGAUUCACGAGGUCACUUCCUCUCAUCUCCUCCAACUCGCGCUCACACAGCAGAGUGAAAAAUUGUUUGAUUGAGGUGGGCAAAUUGAAAAUGCCGACUCAAAUAUUUAGUGAAAUGUAUCAGCGUCACAUUUGGCAUUUACAGAACUGCAGUUUAUUGCAGAAGUCGCCCCUCGGUGAGGAUUGACAAUCUUAUUAUGCAAGACAAAGUUCUUUAAAAACGGACUUAUGAGUGUUGUCUUAUCUGAAAAAGGUUUAUUCAUCUACUUCCUUUGACUAUAUCCUAAAGAAAAAUUCUAAAAACAAAGACAGGUUGUGUUUAGCCUUCCCCAAGGACACCUGGAAGAAACAUGAGUUUCACUUAGCUUGUUUGUUUUUACAUGAGUCGACUGUUGUUGUCAGCUGAAUAGAGGCUUUUAUUUUACAAAAUAAAAAAGAAAUAAUAUUCAAA